RNAcentral lists this ribosomal RNA (652 nucleotides) under uncultured rumen protozoa. Its description in RNAcentral is "bacterial SSU rRNA". It matches the Rfam family "Eukaryotic small subunit ribosomal RNA", at positions 401 to 1174 of the family's 1831-position model. The record is from RNAcentral.
GAACGGCUACUACAUCUACGGAAUUGCAGCCCGCGCGUAAAUUACCCAAUCCUGACUCAGGGAGGUGGUGACAAGAUAUAACAACAUCUAUGCAAAUCGUGAUUGUAGUGAGGGUAUUCUAAACCGAACCACUAUUACGAUUAGAGGGCAAGUCUGGUGCCAGCAGCCGCGGUAAUUCCAGCUCUAUAGCGUAUAUUAAAGUUGCUGCAGUUAAAAGCUCGUAGUUGGAUUUCUUGGACAGCUUUACCUCUUUGAGGUAGGCUUCCUACUAGUCUUCGGACUGUUACUGUGAGAAAAUUAGAGUGUUUAAAGCAGGCUUUUGCAAGAAUACAUAACAUGGAAAACCAACGCGAGAGAAUAUUGGUUAACCAAAACAUUAUAGAGACAGUUGGGGGCAUUAGAUUUAAUGCCUACGUUAAUAUUCUUGAUUGUAAAAAUAACGUAUGCAAAGCUUUGCCAAGGAUGUCUUCAUUAAUCAAAACAAAGAUAGGGGAUCAAAACAUCAAAUACUGUUGUAGUCCUUCUAUAACUAUGCGACAAGGGAUGGAAUGGAAAAUACCAUUCCAGACCCUAUGAAAAUCAAAGUCUUUGGGUCUGGGGGGAGAAAGGUCGCAAGGCUGAAACUAAAAGAACUGACCGAAGGGAACACAGA